This 399-nucleotide ribosomal RNA is filed under the name uncultured bacterium. Its description in RNAcentral is "bacterial SSU rRNA". It matches the Rfam family "Bacterial small subunit ribosomal RNA", at positions 30 to 429 of the family's 1533-position model. The record is from RNAcentral.
AUUGAACGCUGGCGGCAUGCCUUACACAUGCAAGUCGAACGGCAGCACGGGAGCAAUCCUGGUGGCGAGUGGCGAACGGGUGAGUAAUAUAUCGGAACGUGCCCAGUCGUGGGGGAUAACGUAGCGAAAGCUACGCUAAUACCGCAUACGAUCUAUGGAUGAAAGCGGGGGGAUCGCAAGACCUCGCGCGAUUGGAGCGGCCGAUAUCAGAUUAGCUAGUUGGUGAGGUAAAGGCGUCACCAAGGCGACGAUCUGUAGCGGGUCUGAGAGGAUGAUCCGCCACACUGGAACUGAGACACGGUCCAGACUCUACGGGAGGCAGCAGUGGGGAAUUUUGGACAAUGGGGGCAACCCUGAUCCAGCCAUGCCGCGUCGAGUGAAGAAGGCCUCGGUUGUAAG